Molecule: ribosomal RNA, 2907 nt
Filed under: Pectobacterium carotovorum
Lineage: Bacteria; Pseudomonadati; Pseudomonadota; Gammaproteobacteria; Enterobacterales; Pectobacteriaceae
Description: bacterial LSU rRNA
Rfam family: Bacterial large subunit ribosomal RNA
Source: RNAcentral
UUAAGCGACUAAGCGUACACGGUGGAUGCCUAGGCAGUCAGAGGCGAUGAAGGGCGUGCUAAUCUGCGAUAAGCGUCGGUAAGCUGAUAUGAAGCGUUAUACCCGACGAUACCCGAAUGGGGAAACCCAGUGUGUUUCGACACACUAUCAUUACGUGAAUACAUAGCGUAAUGAGGCGAACCGGGGGAACUGAAACAUCUCAGUACCCCGAGGAAAAGAAAUCAACCGAGAUUCCCCUAGUAGCGGCGAGCGAACGGGGAGGAGCCCAGAACCUGAAUCAGUUUGUGUGUUAGUGGAAGCGUCUGGAAAGUCGCACAGUAAAGGGUGAUAGUCCCGUACACAAAAAUGCACAAAUUGUGAGUUCGAUGAGUAGGGCGGGACACGUGACAUCCUGUCUGAAUAUGGGGGGACCAUCCUCCAAGGCUAAAUACUCCUGACUGACCGAUAGUGAACCAGUACCGUGAGGGAAAGGCGAAAAGAACCCCGGCGAGGGGAGUGAAAUAGAACCUGAAACCGUGUACGUACAAGCAGUGGGAGCCUUGAUUAAUCAGGGUGACUGCGUACCUUUUGUAUAAUGGGUCAGCGACUUAUAUUCUGUAGCAAGGUUAACCGUAUAGGGGAGCCGUAGGGAAACCGAGUCUUAACUGGGCGUUAAGUUGCAGGGUAUAGACCCGAAACCCGGUGAUCUAGCCAUGGGCAGGUUGAAGGUUGGGUAACACUAACUGGAGGACCGAACCGACUAAUGUUGAAAAAUUAGCGGAUGACUUGUGGCUGGGGGUGAAAGGCCAAUCAAACCGGGAGAUAGCUGGUUCUCCCCGAAAGCUAUUUAGGUAGCGCCUCGUGAAUUCAUCUUCGGGGGUAGAGCACUGUUUCGGCUAGGGGGUCAUCCCGACUUACCAACCCGAUGCAAACUACGAAUACCGAAGAAUGUUAUCACGGGAGACACACGGCGGGUGCUAACGUUCGUCGUGAAGAGGGAAACAACCCAGACCGCCAGCUAAGGUCCCAAAGUCAUGGUUAAGUGGGAAACGAUGUGGGAAGGCACAGACAGCCAGGAUGUUGGCUUAGAAGCAGCCAUCAUUUAAAGAAAGCGUAAUAGCUCACUGGUCGAGUCGGCCUGCGCGGAAGAUGUAACGGGGCUAAACCAUGCACCGAAGCUGCGGCAGCGACACUUAGGUGUUGUUGGGUAGGGGAGCGUUCUGUAAGCCGUCGAAGGUGGCCUGUGAGGGUUGCUGGAGGUAUCAGAAGUGCGAAUGCUGACAUAAGUAACGAUAAUGCGGGUGAAAAACCCGCACGCCGGAAGACCAAGGGUUCCUGUCCAACGUUAAUCGGGGCAGGGUGAGUCGACCCCUAAGGCGAGGCUGAAAAGCGUAGUCGAUGGGAAACAGGUUAAUAUUCCUGUACUCGGUGUUACUGCGAAGGGGGGACGGAGAAAGCUAGGUUAUCCGGGCGACGGUUGUCCCGGUUUAAGCGUGAAGGUGGAUGACUUUGGUAAAUCCGGGUCGUCAUUAACACUGAGGCGUGAUGACGAGUCACUACGGUGAUGAAGUAACCAAUGCUACGCUUCCAGGAAAAGCCUCUAAGCUCCAGGUAACAUCAAAUCGUACCCCAAACCGACACAGGUGGUCAGGUAGAGAAUACUCAGGCGCUUGAGAGAACUCGGGUGAAGGAACUAGGCAAAAUGGUGCCGUAACUUCGGGAGAAGGCACGCUGAUGGUAGGUGAAGUGACUUGCUCACGGAGCUGAAAUCAGUCGAAGAUACCAGCUGGCUGCAACUGUUUAAUAAAAACACAGCACUGUGCAAACACGAAAGUGGACGUAUACGGUGUGACGCCUGCCCGGUGCCGGAAGGUUAAUUGAUGGGGUCAGCCGCAAGGCGAAGCUCUUGAUCGAAGCCCCGGUAAACGGCGGCCGUAACUAUAACGGUCCUAAGGUAGCGAAAUUCCUUGUCGGGUAAGUUCCGACCUGCACGAAUGGCGUAAUGAUGGCCAGGCUGUCUCCACCCGAGACUCAGUGAAAUUGAACUCGCUGUGAAGAUGCAGUGUACCCGCGGCAAGACGGAAAGACCCCGUGAACCUUUACUAUAGCUUGACACUGAACCUUGAGCCUUGAUGUGUAGGAUAGGUGGGAGGCUUUGAAGCGUGGACGCCAGUCUGCGUGGAGCCAACCUUGAAAUACCACCCUUUAAUGUUUGAUGUUCUAACGUGGGCCCGUGAUCCGGGUUGCGGACAGUGUCUGGUGGGUAGUUUGACUGGGGCGGUCUCCUCCCAAAGCGUAACGGAGGAGCACGAAGGUUAGCUAAUCCUGGUCGGACAUCAGGAGGUUAGUGCAAAGGCAUAAGCUAGCUUGACUGCGAGAGUGACAGCUCGAGCAGGUGCGAAAGCAGGUCUUAGUGAUCCGGUGGUUCUGAAUGGAAGGGCCAUCGCUCAACGGAUAAAAGGUACUCCGGGGAUAACAGGCUGAUACCGCCCAAGAGUUCAUAUCGACGGCGGUGUUUGGCACCUCGAUGUCGGCUCAUCACAUCCUGGGGCUGAAGUAGGUCCCAAGGGUAUGGCUGUUCGCCAUUUAAAGUGGUACGCGAGCUGGGUUUAGAACGUCGUGAGACAGUUCGGUCCCUAUCUGCCGUGGGCGUUGGAAGAUUGAGAGGGGUUGCUCCUAGUACGAGAGGACCGGAGUGAACGCACCACUGGUGUUCGGGUUGUGAUGCCAAUUGCAUUGCCCGGUAGCUAAGUGCGGAAGAGAUAACCGCUGAAAGCAUCUAAGCGGGAAACUUGCCUCGAGAUGAGUCUUCCCUGGGCACUAGAUGCCCCUGAAGGGCCGUUGAAGACUACGACGUAGAUAGGCUGGGUGUGUAAGCGUAGCGAUACGUUGAGCUAACCAGUACUAAUGACCCGAGAGGCUUAACCU